RNAcentral lists this long non-coding RNA (4971 nucleotides) under Varroa destructor (honeybee mite). RNAcentral describes it as "uncharacterized LOC111251890, transcript variant X1". The record is from RNAcentral. Lineage: Eukaryota; Metazoa; Arthropoda; Arachnida; Mesostigmata; Varroidae.
UCACCUGACUUUGAUCAGUUAGUGUCCUGGCCACCGUACUGAUUAAGGCAUCGUACCCGAUGUAUGGGAUGCAUUUGAUCAAUUGCUUGAACGUCGAGGCAACUGGGUCCUCACAGGUCAGUGCAUGCAAGCAGAUUUCGAAUGUCGACAUCGAGCGGGUCACACCCAACGCCACGGAAUCAAGUGAACGCUGAAUAUGGCUAAUGUUAUCUCUAUUUCUGUCUGUGUGGCUGUGACCAUUUACCGUACAAAGGUGGCCCUAUGGACGGGACGAAUGGCACACGCAGCGGCAAUAGUGAUUCAACCUGUUUGACCUAUCGAUGGUUCCGUUCGCUACCGUUUACGAUGCCGGUCGAUUUGGCAAACGUAUUGACAGACAAGGUCCAAAAGCAAAUGCUAAGUUGUCAUCACGACUAUCAGAGUAGGAAAAAGAGACGUAAAAAUUUACCAACCGUGACAGCUGGUUAUUGCCUGACGAGUACGAGAUGUUACUGCAGAUGUAAAAAAUGACACAUGGUUGAGCGUGCAUUUAAUAUCAGUUAGCGCGAAGAAAAUGCCGGCGUGUGUUACUACGACAAUGGAUCUGCAAUCAGCCAAAACGCUCAUGUCAAGACCGCCGAAAUCUUCCACCGCAAACAGAAGGGAUGCAGAUCUAUUUGAGAGCUUUUACAGCCGAACAGAUUUCCUGCAUAGAUGCUUCCAAUGAUCGUGAUCAAGAAACUGCCGUUUGCUGACGCCGAUCAUCAUGAUGAGGGCGCGUGAAGUCUAGCUUCUAAACAAGUUGCCGCCGCUACCGCUUCUGCCAUAUCGAAGCAAAGAGGAAAAAAUGCCGAGAAGACAACGGGUUCUGGAGAGGGCGGGGAAGUUUGCUGUUCAUCUUUUAUUACAAAUGCGACCAACUACAUAACACUCAAGAACGACUAUCGACGACAACAUCAGCGCCAAGUGCGUCAACAGCGCAAAUAUUCAGUGAAGGCGAUUAUCUGAGAAGUUAACUUGAGUCAACCAUACGUAAAGAAUACACUUAUGCGAUUGCUGGGGUCUUCGACGACGAGGGCCGCUUUCAGUCAGGUGGCGUCAAACUAAAUAUAAAAGUAACUAUCGAAAACUACAUGGACCCCUAUCGAGGUGAUAUAUUAUUUCGUCGCAUGAUAAUAUGAAGAUCUCAUCUGCAGCAGACAAAUAUAAGGUCCUGUACAAUUAAGCCCCACAAUCAGACAUGCUUUCUGUUCUCUGAGACACGUAUCUGUUGUAUAAUAGCGGCGUGCACAGUUUUAUUCUGAAUUUCAGUAUUGUCUAGCUAACCUAAGAUAGGUUAGCAUUUUGUUCCAGAUUAGAUAAUGAGACUGUUUUGCUGAAAGGAGUUGUUAAUGAAAAAGGGUUCCGGGGGGAAAAAUUAAACCCCAGUUCGGCGAUGAUGAAUGGAGCUACCUGCACGCACAACUCUUAAGAACGAAACACUUUGCGCAUAUGCCCAGCUACAAUGUAGGAAUGUACAAUUGGAGGAAAGUUCGUUGAAUAAUAGGAAUGAAGAGCUCUGGACAGAAUGCGUCGGUCACAAUUGUCACUCUACGAGUUGAUAUAAAAAAAAAAAGUAGCCGACGCAGAUAUGCACGAGUGGCAAAACACCAAUGAGCGAAGGAAGACUUAAGAUGGCAUCGUUCGAAACAAACCAACAACAAUAACAAUACGACCGCCGGAACAACUGAGGUGAACCGUACGCAGUUACGCCAGUCUCUCAACCUCUGAGGGGACAAAAAAAGGUCACAAUCUUACAUCAAAGGCGCCAUAUUUGAACGAAUCUCGCCUCGUACGUGCGCAAUAUGACUGAAGACUGCGGGGUUUCAGCCUGCACUGUGGAAAAUGCAACAGGGUGUUCUAUAAAGUUAGUUGACGAGACCGACCCUUAAGCUAAGCCAGCAAAACAAUGGCAAUGUAGACCAUAUGGCUUGCCUGUUGCAAUGGGCUGGCACUGUACUGGACGGCCUUGUUUAACGAACGUUUAUUCCGGACUGUUUCGUCCUCAUAUGCGGGAUUUCGUUAUCCCAAAAAGCAAAGGCGACACAAGCCAACCGACGCCGAGGCGAGGAGUCACGAAAACGUGUUUGCUAUGCACUGCCUUUCUAUCCGCUGGCAAAAAGAUUGGACGCGUUCCUAGAGAGUAUGAGUGCAACAUUCAAGAAACAACACGAUCAUAGGAAAAAGACGUGCAAGGUCCCCCCUUGCCGAUAUCAACUUCGGCCAGACUUUAUGGACUUGAAAGCUGCUUUCGACUCUCUCUCAAGGAAUAUAGCCUAAAGUAUCCUUGCCGACGUACGAGCUUCUGCAAAAGUACUUAGUAGCAGCGAUACUGCAAAAGAACAGCGCUAUCUAUAAUCGAUGCUGGUGUUUUGAAAUCCAGACUACAGGUUUAGCCCGGGGUGAUCACUGAAGCCCUCUCCUUUUUUCGGUUUUGCUUAUCCCGGGCAAGAUGCGGGGGUUUACAAAUAUGGUGAGGAUUUGCCUCUGUGCAGGAUUUUUACAGGAACAGUCGCUUCUAUCUGCAGCACGCUACAGCCAGACCAGAUUCCGUUGUCUCGGAAUUGAGUCUAACCAUCAGUCUAAUCAAAGCCGAGGCAACUGAAAUCAGGAGAAAUAUCAGAGUCGCGCUUUGUGACACGCUAUACCUCUCGAGUCAGCCACCGACAUAUAUAAGAUGUAUAUUCGCCCCGCUGAAGCUGCUGAUCUUUCUUCCUACCAAACCAAACCAGACCAAACUUUCUUCCUUCUUCAAAGACAUACGAAAAAAUGUAGAAAGUCUUGAUAACGUAGUCCUCAAUAUUUAUACCUACCGAUUGCACCUCUUAAACACUUUACGACAUUUCCACCUCAAGGUUUCACCAGUUGCCACUUGCGGGGUGGGCUUAAUUUAGAAACACUUAAUAAUAUUAGAGGACUUUUCCUCAAAAGAAUCUUGGAACUGCACAGGACAACCCGUAACAGGCAUGUUUACCUAGCGGCGGCUGCAGCGACGUCACCGUUUACCAACCACCUACUUCGCAGUUUUAAUCUACCCGCAACACGGACGCUUCAAAAAAGCAAGUGAGAGAAGCUGUAAAAUGGAACCGAAAGGGGCGGAGGUUGACCCCGAAUGGGGGCCAUCACAGAUACGACGUGGAAAGGAUUUGACCGGCCUAUCAAGCAUGUGGUAACAGGCAAUGCAGUACACAAUUUCUACCAUCACCUAUUGAAAAUACAGGAGUUCUGUUAUGCGUUUGUAUUAAAUCUAGGCAACCAUUUGGUUUGUAUCAUACUUUCGACUAUUCACAAACUCAAUCGCAAAACAGUCUGACGCAGUAAUUAACCGAGGAAUGGCACUUGUAUAACGCACUUAUUGGUGGGCCCUAAACAACUUACCCCGUAGACGUUGAAUCAACCAGUUUAGAAACGUUAUCUUUAGCCAAGCUUGUGAAGCAAUCAUAUAUAUGGUAUCGGAUAGGGUAUAAAGCUUAGUACGCCAAGUUGCCAUAAAUAUAUAUAUUUCGAAUUUUAUCUGGCAAAUUUAAAUAAAUGGAUUUAUCGGAUUGAUUAUUUACAAGUUUACAAACUAUUCCAUAUAUUCUUUUAAAAUCUCGUUUUUGCUAUACGAACAUCUCCUCUUUCGUUGAGACAUGUAAAAUGCGUCGCUACUGGUUCCGUGCGCUGUUUUUCCACAGCUUUUACGUAACCCUUUAAUUGAAUCCAUCCCCCUUUUGCUUAUCAUUUAUAGCCACUGAUACAUAAUUAAAGUGCAACUUCUAUAAACGUUGUGUUUGUAAAUAAUCUCAACUAACUUAUCAGCUUUAACGUUCAACAGGCUACGACCAAGAACUGCUGCCAACUUCGAAACCUCAUAUUAAAGGCGAGACAAGCAUCAUUACGUCCGCAAAUCUGCUAUAAUUUAUUAUUAAUUAAUUAAGAUUAAUGGCUUCAUUUAAGUGUUCCAGCUGUAGCGGUUCGCUAUUGUAAUGUAUUGGCUGGAGUAGUGACAGUACGGUGAUACGCACUUGUGUGUAUAUACGUGUUAAUAUUCCUAUAUAUUGUACGUAUGUGGUGCAAUAAAUGAAGGUACCCGCACGCACAUUAGCCAGGGAAGGAUUGUUUGUUAGCAGACGGGGACGUGAGUCAAUAUUCGAAGUCCAUUAUGAAGAUGCCAUUCUAACGAAAGAGCUUAGCGAUGAAAGCCAAUAAAAAACGAUUUAAAGCCGUUCUCUUGAAAAGAUAGCCGUAUGACGACUGCGGCCGGUGUAUCUCGUCGGCUAUGGAUGAAGUUACGUUCUGAGUGCGUCUGUUCGCGCGGACUUCCUUCACUAGUCACCUAUAGCUGCUCGCUGAUGAUGAUUAAUGUGCAAACAAAUCAAAAUAGAAAAAGCUAUUUUUUUGUACUUCAGGCGAAAAAAAGCCCGUUGUCACACAACUUGGGAAAGGCGCUUUUUCCCGAGUCAUCUAAUUUAGAUGUGAAACUGCUUGUGCGAUUAGGGUCUUCUCAUGUCGAGGUUGCGCUGUCACUAAGUUGUUCGUAUCACGCGUUCCUGUGCCAAAUUGUGUUUACAUUCAUUUAAUAUAAAGUAAAGGGAAACAUUUUAUACGGCCGGUGACUCUAACAGGUUCAUAUAUUAGAUAAAUAUUUUUUUUAACAGCCUAAAAUGAGUUCUAACUCUCUUGUCCUAUAUAGAGAUACCACUGUUUUUCAAAUGUACAGUUAUCAUACCCCAGGCCUUCCUGAUACCAAACCGUAGCCGGCCUCUAAUAUAUGAGUUUACGAAUCUUAUCCGAGAAGAGCACCCUAAUGGAAUUAUUGAUUGAUAUCAAAGAUUUCUGUUUCAAUCGUACGUGCGACAAGGUUACGUAUCCCUAGCAAUGUUUAACCCUGCCGGUGAGAGGCUCUUGCAAAGCUGUUUCCUGCCUGUAAUUGAUUUGACGUCGGAAAGCUUUAAAGCCUCAAUGUACCUA